UGGGGAAUUUUGGACAAUGGGCGCAAGCCUGAUCCAGCCAUGCCGCGUGCGGGAAGAAGGCCUUCGGGUUGUAAACCGCUUUUGGCAGGAACGAAACGGCGCGAGUUAAUACCCCGCGCUAAUGACGGUACCUGCAGAAUAAGCACCGGCUAACUACGUGCCAGCAGCCGCGGUAAUACGUAGGGUGCAAGCGUUAAUCGGAAUUACUGGGCGUAAAGCGUACGCAGGCGGCUAUGUAAGACAGGUGUGAAAUCCCCGGGCCUAACCUGGGAACUGCAUUUGUGACUGCAUAGCUAGAGUCUGUCAGAGGGGGGUGGAAUUCCACGUGUAGCAGUGAAAUGCGUAGAGAUGUGGAGGAACACCGAUGGCGAAGGCAGCCCCCUGGGAUGAGACUGACGCUCAUGUACGAAAGCGUGGGGAGCAAACAGGAUUAGAUACCCCCGUAGUCC
RNAcentral lists this ribosomal RNA (449 nucleotides) under uncultured bacterium. RNAcentral describes it as "bacterial SSU rRNA". It matches the Rfam family "Bacterial small subunit ribosomal RNA", at positions 355 to 796 of the family's 1533-position model. The record is from RNAcentral.